AUUGGUGCCCCCGGGCCUUUGCACAUGCUGUUUCUGUGUUCCCAGUGCUUCCAGCCCCUUCAGACCUCAGCUGCUCCUUCGCUGAGGCCUCUGCCGCUCCCCAGUCUGCCCCCCAGAGCUCCUGGUCUGCCCCGACAUGGAUAAUGCUCGUGUGGGACCCCACCCAGCGGAGAUGCUCCUAGAGUACUUAGCAAACGAGUGACGGAUCACCCUGGGGCCGAGGGUGGUCUGAGCAGCACAGGCCUCCCGGGCCGGCGGGAAAGGGGUACUGCUCAGUGCCCGCGCCCCCACCUCUCUCUCUGUCCACCUGCUGCUGGGCCCGGCCUCAGCCUGCUGGGAGGGCCUGGCAACCUGGGAGAAUUCACCUGACCUUCCGGAACCUUCUGAAGAUGGAGAAGGGUGGGCGGUGGGCUCCCCUGCCCGACACUCACAGGGGUCAGAAGCCGGACGGGCAGCCCACGAGGUGACGUCAGGACCAACGGGGGGGGUCACGGGGACAGCCCCAACUCCACUGGCCGCCCGUGGCUGCAGAGUGACCCCCGAGAUGUGGCCCGUGCAAAUCGAGACACGCGGGAGCUGUGACGUCCGCACGGGACCCGCGAUGUCAUGUGAGAAGGAGGAAAUCGCUUACGUGGUACCCGUGGUAUUUCUUUCGGACGCUGCCGGCCUGGAAAAUGCAGAAACAGACUCAAAACUCCAAGAUAAGAAAACCGAGACUCCCAAGCCCAGGCCGCCUCGGUCUGCCGUUCCUCCCGCUCCUGCCCCCUCCCCGCUUUGACCGGAGCAGUGAGCGCCCCAUCCGC
Molecule: long non-coding RNA, 803 nt
Filed under: Equus caballus (horse)
Lineage: Eukaryota; Metazoa; Chordata; Mammalia; Perissodactyla; Equidae
Description: lncRNA (ENSECAG00000031728.2)
Source: RNAcentral